GACGAACGCUGGCGGCGUGCUUAACACAUGCAAGUCGAACGGAAAGGCCCUGCUUUUGUGGGGUGCUCGAGUGGCGAACGGGUGAGUAACACGUGAGUAACCUGCCCUUGACUUUGGGAUAACUUCAGGAAACUGGGGCUAAUACCGGAUAGGAGCUCCUGCUGCAUGGUGGGGGUUGGAAAGUUUCGGCGGUUGGGGAUGGACUCGCGGCUUAUCAGCUUGUUGGUGGGGUAGUGGCUUACCAAGGCUUUGACGGGUAGCCGGCCUGAGAGGGUGACCGGCCACAUUGGGACUGAGAUACGGCCCAGACUCCUACGGGAGGCAGCAGUGGGGAAUAUUGCACAAUGGGCGGAAGCCUGAUGCAGCAACGCCGCGUGCGGGAUGACGGCCUUCGGGUUGUAAACCGCUUUCGCCUGUGACGAAGCGUGAGUGACGGUAAUGGGUAUAGAAGCACCGGCUAACUACGUG
RNAcentral lists this ribosomal RNA (468 nucleotides) under uncultured bacterium. RNAcentral describes it as "partial 16S ribosomal RNA". It matches the Rfam family "Bacterial small subunit ribosomal RNA", at positions 28 to 507 of the family's 1533-position model. The record is from RNAcentral.